UUGAAGGCUGGAAUGAAUGGUUGGACAAGAAAUAAGCUGUCUUAAAUAAAAAUAUUGAACUUAACUUUUAAGUGAAAAGGCUUAAAUUUUCUAAAGGGACGAUAAGACCCUAUAAAACUUUAUAUUUAAAAAUAAUUGCAAUUAUUAUUUAAAGAUUUUAUUUUUAAAUAUUUUAUUGGGGCGAUAAGGAUAAAAUAUAAGACAACUGUCUUUUAUUUUAACAAUAAUUUUUGAGUAAAUGAUCUUAGUAAAGGAAUAAAAGAUUAAGUUACUUUAGGGAUAACAGCGUAAUUUUCUUUGAGAGUUCUUAUCGACAAGAAAGUUUGCGACCUCGAUGUUGAAUUAAAAGUUCUUUAUAGAGUAGAGACUAUAUUAGAAGGUCUGUUCGA
RNAcentral lists this ribosomal RNA (389 nucleotides) under Astacus astacus (noble crayfish). RNAcentral's name for it is "partial small subunit ribosomal RNA". The record is from RNAcentral. Lineage: Eukaryota; Metazoa; Arthropoda; Malacostraca; Decapoda; Astacidae.